UACGGGGGGGGCAAGCGUUGUUCGGAAUUACUGGGCGUAAAGGGCUCGUAGGCGGCCAACUAAGUCAGCCGUGAAAUCCCUCGGCUUAACCGGGGAACUGCAUCUGAUACUGGAUGGCUUGAGUUCGGGAGAGGGAUGCGGAAUUCCAGGUGUAGCGGUGAAAUGCGUAGAUAUCUGGAGGAACACCGGUGGCGAAAGCGCUCUGCUGGGCCAUAACUGACACUCAGGGACGAAAGCUAGGGGAGCGAAUGGG
RNAcentral lists this ribosomal RNA (253 nucleotides) under uncultured bacterium. RNAcentral's name for it is "partial 16S ribosomal RNA". It matches the Rfam family "Bacterial small subunit ribosomal RNA", at positions 524 to 776 of the family's 1533-position model. The record is from RNAcentral.